UUACUUAGCAACAAGACAAUGGUAUUGAUUCUGAGCGCAUCUAAAUUUUAGAAUAUUCGCAUCCUUUUCUUACCAUUCUAAUAAGAAAGGGACAGCCAAACCGCAUUUAAUUUAGAGCUGUCAAACCUCGCGACGUUAGGUGCGAGUCGUGUGCGUAUUGUUUAAUUUGUAGAAUGCAUUAAAAUUUAGAGUCUUUGAAUGUAAAGUUCAAGUCCCGUCCUUUUUUAGCAAUAUUAAAAAGAAAAAGAGCAGAUGGGUAGUUGGGUACUCUAAAUUUAGUUUAGACAAAAACAUUAGAAUCGAUCCCAUGUUUCAUUUUCAAGAACAGUUCGUUUCGACACUUGCUAGGAACCUUCAGGUUCGGCCGAAGCCGAAGGUUUAGCCAAAGGUGGUGGUUUUGGCCGAAGGUGGCCGAAGCCGACGGUUCAGUCGGAUA
This is a long non-coding RNA of Maniola jurtina (meadow brown), 436 nucleotides long. RefSeq lists it as uncharacterized. NCBI's taxonomy places the organism in Eukaryota, Metazoa, Arthropoda, Insecta, Lepidoptera, Nymphalidae. The record is from RefSeq and is a predicted model, not a curated record. The transcript has 3 exons.